GACGAACGCUGGCGGCGUGCUUAACACAUGCAAGUCGAACGGUGACCUCGAGAGCUUGCUCUUGGGUGAUCAGUGGCGAACGGGUGAGUAACACGUGAGUAACCUGCCCCAGACUCUGGAAUAACCCCGGGAAACCGGAGCUAAUACCGGAUACGAGACGGAGCCGCAUGGCUACCGUUUGGAAAGUCUUUCGGUCUGGGAUGGACUCGCGGCCUAUCAGCUAGUUGGAGAGGUAACGGCUCACCAAGGCAUCGACGGGUAGCUGGUCUGAGAGGAUGAUCAGCCACACUGGGACUGAGACACGGCCCAGACUCCUACGGGAGGCAGCAGUGGGGAAUCUUGCACAAUGGGCGAAAGCCUGAUGCAGCGACGCCGCGUGAGGGAUGACGGCCUUCGGGUUGUAAACCUCUUUCAGCAGGGAAGAAGCGAAAGUGACGGUACCUGCAGAAGAAGUCCCGGCUAACUACGUGC
Molecule: ribosomal RNA, 471 nt
Filed under: uncultured bacterium
Lineage: Bacteria
Description: bacterial SSU rRNA
Rfam family: Bacterial small subunit ribosomal RNA
Source: RNAcentral